GGAGACGAAGACUUCCUUCCAAGGGCA
Molecule: transfer RNA, 27 nt
Filed under: Gorilla beringei graueri (eastern lowland gorilla)
Lineage: Eukaryota; Metazoa; Chordata; Mammalia; Primates; Hominidae
Description: partial tRNA-Thr
Source: RNAcentral